AAGAAUGUCUGCCAUUAGUUUAAGAGGGUUAGCAUAUUUGGAAUGCUUCUUAUACUAACACUGCCUCCUUGUAAGAUAUAAAUUUCUUAUUUACUUCACCAACUUAUUCUUCUAGUUGUGUGGUGUCUAGGCAACAUAUCAAUUCUGCUGUGUAAUUCAGAGAAUUCUCAUUCCAAGAGUAUCUGAGCCAAACUGAGUAUUCUGUGGCAGCUGCGGCAGUGCCAUCACUAGCAAUUUGCUCUUAUCAUUAUUUAUUACCUUUGAACCUAAGGUUUCCUGCCUAUGCCUCCACAGGCAGGAGUCAGUCCCCUUUGCAUGAAAAGGUUUAAACAGGUUAGUUAUUAGAAGACUAAAAUACUAGUUGAAUAUUCGUAUUUUGGAAAUCUGUUCACACUGGAGAUCUACAGAAAUGCCACAAAUUAUUACCUGAAAUCAGAAAUUCUAGAAAUUGAAGAUUCUGAGAUGAGAUACUGAAGUCUUAAUAGUGAUGGUGUGCUUGCUUCUCUUUCAGUCAGGCUUUUGGGUUCAGAUAUGACAGGCUCUGGGGUUAAAAUAAAGUUUGAACCAUUACUUGUGUCAAACCAUAUUCCAUUAACCUUGCAAGUCAAAUACAUUUGAUUCUUUAAUAAAAAACAAAAAAGGAUAAAAUAGAUGGUAGAAGAAAAGGUAUUUGUAGAAAGAAGAUACAGAUGGAAUGAUCUGGAUGUUUAGAGAAUAGCCAU
Molecule: long non-coding RNA, 722 nt
Filed under: Bos taurus (domestic cattle)
Lineage: Eukaryota; Metazoa; Chordata; Mammalia; Artiodactyla; Bovidae
Description: long non-coding RNA NONBTAT006963
Source: RNAcentral